RNAcentral lists this long non-coding RNA (447 nucleotides) under Trifolium pratense (red clover). Its description in RNAcentral is "long non-coding RNA (TPRA_LNC011759)". The record is from RNAcentral. Lineage: Eukaryota; Viridiplantae; Streptophyta; Magnoliopsida; Fabales; Fabaceae.
CCUUUGUGAACCACCAACAACAACGGGAACUAACAACAACCUCGUUUCUGUUAUUUCACCAUCGAUCUCUGACUUCUUGCCGCCACCGUCGCGCCGCCGUCCAUCCCUAUCCCACCGUCACGAACCACCCCUAUGCCACCGCUAUUGUGCUUUGUCAAUUUCUGUUUGUGGAUGGGAUUGAAGAUAAUAAGGUUAAGAAGAAGGAUAGAGAAAUGAAGGAGAUGAAUCUGGUUGUUGUUUUUCGAUUGAAAUUUUUUGGAGGAUUAUGAAUUGGAUUUGUGUUUGAUAUGUCAACGUGGGGGAUUGUUGGUUAAAGAGAUGGGAAGUUUGAAAAGUUUUAUUGAAUUGAUCUGGCUGAGUCGAAUUGAGUUGAGAGAAAGAAGAAGACCAAGAGUACACAGGUGGUGGUGGAGUCCGUCGUUUAGUAAUAAGGCACAUAGUCUGGUG